UACAGAGGAGCCAAGCGUUGUCCGGAUUGACUGGGCGUAAAGCGCACGCAGGCGGUUGCGCGCGUGGGGGGUGAAAUCUGGCCGCUUAACGGCCAGGCGCCAUCCCAUACGGCGCGACUGGAGGGCUGCAGAGGUCGAUGGAAUUGCCGGUGUAGUGGUGAAAUGCGCAGAUAUCAGGAAGAACACCCGUGGCGAAGGCGGCUCUCUGGGACGGUACUGACGCUGAGACGCGAAAGCGUGGGGAGCGAACAGG
This 253-nucleotide ribosomal RNA is filed under the name uncultured bacterium. Its description in RNAcentral is "partial 16S ribosomal RNA". It matches the Rfam family "Bacterial small subunit ribosomal RNA", at positions 524 to 776 of the family's 1533-position model. The record is from RNAcentral.